CCUACGGGUGGCAGCAGUGGGGAAUAUUGCACAAUGGGGGAAACCCUGAUGCAGCGACGCCGCGUGAAGGAAGAAGUAUUUCGGUAUGUAAACUUCUAUCAGCAGGGAAGAAAAUGACGGUACCUGACUAAGAAGCCCCGGCUAACUACGUGCCAACCGCCGCGGUAAUACGUAAGGGGCAAGCGUUAUCCGGAUUUACUGGGUGUAAAGGGAGCGGAGGCGGUGAUGCAAGGCAGAAGUGAAAGCCCGCAGCUCAACUGCGGGACUGCUUUUGAAACUGUAUGACUAGAUUGCAGGAGAGGUAGGUGGAAUUCCUAGUGUAGCGGUGAAAUGCGUAGAGAUUAGGAGGAACACCAGUGGCGAAGGCGGCUUACUGGACUGUAAAUGACGCUGAGGCUCGAAAGUGUGGGGAGCAAACAGGAUUAGAUACCCUUGUAGUC
RNAcentral lists this ribosomal RNA (440 nucleotides) under uncultured bacterium. RNAcentral describes it as "partial 16S ribosomal RNA". It matches the Rfam family "Bacterial small subunit ribosomal RNA", at positions 338 to 795 of the family's 1533-position model. The record is from RNAcentral.